RNAcentral lists this ribosomal RNA (253 nucleotides) under uncultured bacterium. Its description in RNAcentral is "partial 16S ribosomal RNA". It matches the Rfam family "Bacterial small subunit ribosomal RNA", at positions 524 to 776 of the family's 1533-position model. The record is from RNAcentral.
UACAGAGGUCCCAAGCGUUGUUCGGAUUCAUUGGGCGUAAAGGGUGCGUAGGUGGCGCCGUAAGUCAGGUGUGAAAUCUCGGGGCUUAACUCCGAAACUGCAUUUGAUACUGCGGUGCUUGAGGACUGGAGAGGAGACUGGAAUUUACGGUGUAGCGGUGAAAUGCGUAGAUAUCGUAAGGAAGACCAGUGGCGAAGGCGGUUCUCUGGACAGUUCCUGACACUGAGGCACGAAGGCCAGGGGAGCAAACGGG